This 1182-nucleotide long non-coding RNA is filed under the name Suricata suricatta (meerkat). RNAcentral's name for it is "lncRNA (ENSSSUG00005020908.1)". Lineage: Eukaryota; Metazoa; Chordata; Mammalia; Carnivora; Herpestidae. The record is from RNAcentral.
UAUUUAUUUUGAGAGUGACAGACACAGAGUGAGGAAGGGAGGGGCAGAGAGUGAGGGGCGAGAGAGAGAAUCUCAGGCAGGUUCCCCACGGCCAGCAGAGUCUGACGUGGGGCUCAAACUCAAGAAACUGCGAGAUCAUGACCUAAGCUGAAACCAAGAGUCAAAAGCUGAACCAACCGAGCCACCCAGGUGGCCCCAUAAUUUUAGAAAGCCAUCACUAGAUAUUAUUUGCACUGUGUUCAUUGUUUGCCAAUCUUAUAAGCAGUAUGAGGCCGGGGUUAUUUGUGCUGUUAUUCCAUACUGAGUCCCUAUGGGAUAACAGAUCAUCCGGGAUUUAACUCGAGCACAGAAACACACAAAAAAGGUGAUUAAAUAGGGGCGCCUGGGUGGCUAAGUGGGUUAGGCUUCCGAUUUUAGCUCAGGUCAUGAUCUCGCAGUUUGUAGGUUUGAGCCCCAUGUCAGGCUCUGUGUGGACAACUCAGAGCUGGAGCCUGCUUCAGAUUCUGUGUCUCCCUCUGUCCUUUCCCUCCUUUGCACUCUGUCUCUCUUUCUCUCUCAGAAAAGAAUAAAUGUUUAAAAAAAUCUACAAGAAAGUGAUUAAAUAAAUGAUAGGACGUCCUACGGGGAACUUACAUUUUAGACACCAUACUUGGAAAAGUUCUUUCUUUCCUAGAAGCAGAGAAAGACUGAGAGACACGGGUGUCACUGCGAAGGCGCCGCAAGCGGCUGACGGUCGGAAAGCCUGAGGUCGCCAGGGCACACGUGCUCCUCAGCCAGUGGCUUGCGUUGGCAGCAAGUGUGACCCACAAAGACAAAAUGGGAGAGAGGACGUAGGAGGAGACGAAUGUGCUCACCAGGGCCAGGACGGUGCGUGCGGCUCUGGCCUCGCGGGAAGGUCUGGGGGACGGGCUGUGGCUGCGAAGGUGCUGGACUCGCUGCUUGUGCCUGAGCAGGACGAGGACCACGGAGCCGCUGGCCCAGGCCAUGAGGCCCGAACAAGUGACAUCAGUGAAGGAGAACAUGACUGCAGGAACAUGCAAAGCAAUAAAGAUAUUCAACAGGAGAUGCAGGAUCCAGCAGAGGAAACAGCAGAUGCCAGUGCACUCCGGGAAUGCAACCCUGAGCUCCACCCACUGGGAGGCGUUGGUGUUGAGCUUAAGGGCCUGGAAACCACUGAGCAGG